RNAcentral lists this ribosomal RNA (448 nucleotides) under uncultured bacterium. RNAcentral describes it as "bacterial SSU rRNA". It matches the Rfam family "Bacterial small subunit ribosomal RNA", at positions 70 to 493 of the family's 1533-position model. The record is from RNAcentral.
AACGCGGGCUUCGGCCCGUCAGUAAAGUGGCAGACGGGUGAGUAACACGUGGGUAACCUGCCCGGAGGUGGGGGAUAACCCUCCGAAAGGAGGGCUAAUACCGCAUAACAUCCUCGAGACUCUGGUCUCGGAGAUCAAAGCUAGCCUCUACAUGCAAGCUAGCACCACCGGAGGGGCCCGCGGCCCAUUAGCUUGUUGGUGAGGUAACGGCUCACCAAGGCGACGAUGGGUAGCCGGCCUGAGAGGGCGAUCGGCCACACUGGAACUGAGACACGGUCCAGACUCCUACGGGAGGCAGCAGUGAGGAAUUUUGCGCAAUGGGGGAAACCCUGACGCAGCGACGCCGCGUGGAGGACGAAGGCCUUCGGGUCGUAAACUCCUGUCAAGUGGGACGAAUGCCGAAGAGAUGAAUAAGCUCUUCGGUUGACGGUACCAUUGGAGGAAGCCC